Trichobilharzia regenti is the source of this 46-nucleotide non-coding RNA. The record is from Rfam. NCBI's taxonomy places the organism in Eukaryota, Metazoa, Platyhelminthes, Trematoda, Strigeidida, Schistosomatidae.
GUACUGAUGAUGAAUCCCAAACUAGGACGAAACAGCUUUCCAGUAC